This 222-nucleotide long non-coding RNA is filed under the name Elaeis guineensis (African oil palm). RNAcentral describes it as "long non-coding RNA (EGUI_LNC025650)". Lineage: Eukaryota; Viridiplantae; Streptophyta; Magnoliopsida; Arecales; Arecaceae. The record is from RNAcentral.
AUGGCCAGGAGAAAAAAUUGAAUAGAUUAGAAUUAAAAAUUUUUUAUAACUCUUAUGAAAGUUAUCUCGAUGCACAGUGAAAAGAUGAUCGAGGUUAAUUGAUUUCUGAAGAUCGUUGCUUCACGAGAUUUGAAUGUCUAAAUCUUCUACUUCACUCGCAUGCCAAGUAACGUAGGAGAGAGGGAUGAAAAUCUUCUUCAGAAGGAAAGGAGGAGAGAGCUU